Long non-coding RNA from Oreochromis niloticus (Nile tilapia), 1329 nucleotides. RefSeq lists it as uncharacterized. The record is from RefSeq and is a predicted model, not a curated record. Lineage: Eukaryota; Metazoa; Chordata; Actinopteri; Cichliformes; Cichlidae. The transcript is spliced from 3 exons.
CUGGAAAUGGUUUCGCGCCAGUCCAGCAGAGGGCGCCUGCUCCAAAAUACCGGAAGUGAUUGGCCAUCUCCGUCCAAUCAGCAUCCAGAAGGCCAAAAGCUGGAUACCAAAUAUAAGUGUCUCCAUAAGAAGUCAUUAGUGAGCUGGGCGGGAAUGAAAAUUAAGCAAUUAAAGGACGUUAACUGCUGUCAUAAAAACUAUUUUCCAGUGACACUUGAGGAUGACCUGGAUCUAUGCCAGGAAAAUUUCAUCAUCCAGCAGGCAAUUUGCCUGUCACUCCUUCAGUGUCCCAACACUGCGGGCUAUUUUCACCCCAGCUGUGAAACUGAAAUAUUGUCUCAGACCCGCUUAUAUUUCACAAUAUGUCUUAUUUCUUUAACUCUGUCUUUUUUUUUAAUGUCAUGUCAUUUUGAUCAAGUCAGAGGUGGCUGUGAUAGGCAGACCUUCUACACAAUUAGCAACACAAUUAGCAUAUCUGCUAUUAUGUACAACUCUUGUAUAGCUCUGCAAGACUGUUUAGGUUGUUGCAUUAUAAUAUUACUAAAAACUGCUGCUGUAUUAACAAAGUAGCUUCAAACGUUUUUGUGUCAAAAUGAUGCUAAUGAGAGCAGUAAGAGCUGAUCAAAGCAAUGAAGCUGCAGACGAAAGAUAAAACAGUUAGUUGAAUCUGCAAAAGGGCACAAUAGAACUGGCGGAGAUGCAAAGUGGAAAACUCGCUGCACGUAUACGUUUACGGAUGGAUGACUACUUGUCUCCUGCCAAAGAAAUCAAUAUUUAAUUCCCUGCACAGUUUUAAUUUUCGAUCUAAAAUGCUGAUCCCGCCGACUGUUAGAGUGACUAUCGAGACAAACCUCUUGAAUUUCUGUUUCUACAAGUGGACAGGAGCAAGUGGAGGAUCACUGGCAGUCUGUUCCAGAGCAACAGUUAAAGCUCGUUACUGCAAAAACUGCUUGUAAUUUACUCAAGAACAGAUUGUCUGCCAUUUGUUGUUGGUGUAAGCUGUCUCUUGACAGAUGCCCUCCAAUGCAUGUCUGCCAAUUUUUAAAAAAAAAAGAAAAGAAAGGGAAAAUGUGUGCUAUUUUGUGGGUUUGUGUAUCCCUCAACUUGCUAGGUGACUACAGACAGAUUUCUGUGAUUGCAGGAUCUGAUUUUCCUUAGUUCUGCUGUUUUUUGGGUUGUUUUUUUUUUUUUAAUGCAGUACAUUUUAUUCUACAAAAAAUGCCCUUCCUGGAAACACAUAGGUAUUGUAUGUUUAAAUGCAACAAAGGGACAACAUGGCUGAUUUUUGGUUUUCACUCAAGCACUUGACUGAAAUCUGUGCAGUACAUG